CUAAGACGUUGAUAGGCUGGGUGUGUAAGUGCAGCGAUGCAUUGAGCUAACCAGUACUAAUGAUCCGUGAGGCUUAACCUUACAACACCGAAGGUGUUUUAG
Molecule: ribosomal RNA, 102 nt
Filed under: Serratia marcescens
Lineage: Bacteria; Pseudomonadati; Pseudomonadota; Gammaproteobacteria; Enterobacterales; Yersiniaceae
Description: partial 23S ribosomal RNA
Rfam family: Bacterial large subunit ribosomal RNA (bases 1-81)
Source: RNAcentral